Gossypium arboreum is the source of this 109-nucleotide small nucleolar RNA. The record is from RefSeq and is a predicted model, not a curated record. NCBI's taxonomy places the organism in Eukaryota, Viridiplantae, Streptophyta, Magnoliopsida, Malvales, Malvaceae.
AAGUCCCAUGAUGAAGACACUUACGAAGCAACUCCUUGAAUCGCUCCCAAGCCUCAUGCAAAGACACAUCAUCCAGUUGUUGGAAAGUUGUGAUCUCAUUCCUCAACUU